UGUUUUGAGAGUUUGAUCCUGGCUCAGAACGAACGCUGGCGGCGUGCCUAACACAUGCAAGUCGAGCGCGAAAGUUCCUUCGGGAAUUAGUAGAGCGGCGGACGGGUGAGUAAUACAUAGGUAAUCUACCCUUGAGCUUGGGAUAACCCCGCGAAAGUGGGGCUAAUACCGGAUAAGACCACGCAAUUAUGUUGCGGGGUAAAAGGUGGCUUAUUUUUUAAAUGAGCUAUCACUUGAGGAUGAGCCUAUGGCCUAUCAGCUUGUUGGCGGGGUAAGAGCCCACCAAGGCUAUGACGGGUAGCUGGUCUGAGAGGACGAUCAGCCACACUGGGACUGAGACACGGCCCAGACUCCUACGGGAGGCAGCAGUGGGGAAUAUUGGGCAAUGGGCGAAAGCCUGACCCAGCGACGCCGCGUGGGCGAUGAAGGCCUUCGGGUUGUAAAGCCCUGUCAUGCGGAAAGAACGACCCUGUGACGCAUACUCACAGGGAGUGACGGUACCGCAGGAGGAAGCACCGGCUAACUCCGUGCCAGCAGCCGCGGUAAUACGGAGGGUGCAAGCGUUGUUCGGAAUUAUUGGGCGUAAAG
RNAcentral lists this ribosomal RNA (588 nucleotides) under Syntrophorhabdaceae bacterium. RNAcentral's name for it is "bacterial SSU rRNA". It matches the Rfam family "Bacterial small subunit ribosomal RNA", at positions 1 to 565 of the family's 1533-position model. Lineage: Bacteria; Pseudomonadati; Thermodesulfobacteriota; Syntrophorhabdia; Syntrophorhabdales; Syntrophorhabdaceae. The record is from RNAcentral.